CGAUGAUGCCCAGCUUGCUGGGUGGAUUAGUGGCGAACGGGUGAGUAACACGUGAGUAACCUGCCCCUGACUCUGGGAUAAGCGUUGGAAACGACGUCUAAUACUGGAUAUGAUCACUGGCCGCAUGGUCUGGUGGUGGAAAGAUUUUUUGGUUGGGGAUGGACUCGCGGCCUAUCAGCUUGUUGGUGAGGUAAUGGCUCACCAAGGCGACGACGGGUAGCCGGCCUGAGAGGGUGACCGGCCACACUGGGACUGAGACACGGCCCAGACUCCUACGGGAGGCAGCAGUGGGGAAUAUUGCACAAUGGGCGAAAGCCUGAUGCAGCAACGCCGCGUGAGGGAUGACGGCCUUCGGGUUGUAAACCUCUUUUAGUAGGGAAGAAGCGAAAGUGACGGUACCUGCAGAAAAAGCACCGGCUAACUACGUGCCAGCAGCCGCGGUAAUACGUAGGGUGCAAGCGUUGUCCGGAAUUAUUGGGCGUAAAGAGCUCGUAGGCGGUUUGUCGCGUCUGCUGUGAAAUCCCGAGGCUCAACCUCGGGCUUGCAGUGGGUACGGGCAGACUAGAGUGCGGUAGGGGAGAUUGGAAUUCCUGGUGUAGCGGUGGAAUGCGCAGAUAUCAGGAGGAACACCGAUGGCGAAGGCAGAUCUCUGGGCCGUAACUGACGCUGAGGAGCGAAAGCAUGNGGAGCGAACAGGAUUAGAUA
RNAcentral lists this ribosomal RNA (705 nucleotides) under Curtobacterium flaccumfaciens. RNAcentral's name for it is "bacterial SSU rRNA". It matches the Rfam family "Bacterial small subunit ribosomal RNA", at positions 67 to 784 of the family's 1533-position model. Lineage: Bacteria; Bacillati; Actinomycetota; Actinomycetes; Micrococcales; Microbacteriaceae. The record is from RNAcentral.